UCUGUUGCAUUUCCCCGGUUGGACUUGUUGUUUUCACGAUUAUUACUUGGUGUCUUCGUUUUUUUUUUUUUUUCUUAUUUUAUUGGAAUGUGGUUCCUACGUCGUCGCACUGGGCCCGUCUCAACGUUCAUACUGCCACUGUUGUGUUAAACUUCCGACUGCAACACAACUGAAAGACGGACCUGCCUGAUGUUACACCAAGAUGCUGUUCUCAUGUUCAAUCUCACCUCAUCCCAAAUCUCAUUGAGAUGUCUUCAACUUAAGAAAAAAUGUUCCUGCUACAUGACAAGACUUCAAUAAGAACAUCUUUGAGAACUUCAGCUUUUCUGAUAAUUGUGAUUAAAGUCUUGUGCUGUCAAACCCUCACAUGUCGUCCUGAAGAGUAUCAGAUAGACAAUAAAUGCUGCCUAAUGUGUCCACCUGGAAACAGAGUUGAUAUAGAUUGGAUAAAGCUACUAAACGUACACAGUGUUUACAAUGCAAUAACUGUGAUACAGGUUCUGGUCUGAAGGUAAAGAAGUCAUGUACAACAACAUCAGAUACAGUUUGUGAACCACUUGAAGGAUUCUUCUGUAUUGACUUAAUAAAGGACCAAUGUAAAGCAGCACAGAAACACAAGGACUGUGAUCCAGGACAAUACAUCAAGGAAAAAGGUACAUCCUCCUCAGACACUGUGUGCUCUGACUGCAGUGAUGGAACAUUUUCAGAUGGAACAUUAACAUCUUGUCACCAACACACACAGUAAGUAAAUCCUCACAUCACACAUGGAGACAUGUUUGAUGUCUUAUUACAUCAGUAAUAUUCUCUAUAAAAUGUCUCUUUAUUGUUCCAGAUGUGAAUCAAUGAACCUUCAGCUGAUAACAGCAGGAACUAAGUCAACUGAUUCUGUUUUUGGGGAACAAACUUCAAAUGUUGGUGUCUACAUUGGUGUGAUCAUUGUUUUAGUCGUUAUAGAAGUGGUAGUAGUAUUGUACGACAUCAGAAGACAGAUAAAAUGUCCAGCAGUUACAGACAAAAACAAUCAUGCAGACAACUUCAUAGAGGGUGAACCUGUGUAACCAGCCUAAACUCUCAGAUGAAAUCUGCUGCUCCAGAAUCCAGUUAUUAUUCAUUUGGAUUUUGGCAGAUUUUCUUCACAGAGAACAGAAAAGACAAAUCAGUGAGAUCAACCUCUGGCUAAGAACAUCCUGCUGACAGUGACAUAGAGACCCUUUAUGGUUCUCCGUCUGUCUUUUAUUUUGGGCUCAUAUUUUGAAGUUUCCUGUUUUAUUUUGUCAGGUUUCCAGAUUUCC
Mugil cephalus (flathead mullet) is the source of this 1292-nucleotide long non-coding RNA. RefSeq lists it as uncharacterized. NCBI's taxonomy places the organism in Eukaryota, Metazoa, Chordata, Actinopteri, Mugiliformes, Mugilidae. The record is from RefSeq and is a predicted model, not a curated record. The transcript has 9 exons.